This 289-nucleotide unclassified non-coding RNA is filed under the name fungal sp. RNAcentral's name for it is "partial internal transcribed spacer region". The stretch from base 1 to 46 matches the Rfam family "Eukaryotic small subunit ribosomal RNA", at positions 1786 to 1831 of the family's 1831-position model. Lineage: Eukaryota; Fungi. The record is from RNAcentral.
AAGUCGUAACAAGGUUUCCGUAGGUGAACCUGCGGAAGGAUCAUUAAUCGAAACCAAGGCUGACCCGAAACCCCCGCGGGAGGGCUCCUCUUUGGCGGGGAAAGAGGGCAGACCUGGAAACCACACUGUGGAAGAUCCCGUUGCUUUGGCAGCCGUCCAGGACUUCCCCUCCGGGGCUUGGAUACUAAGUCUGUCGAAAGCUAUCAGUCUCAACUCUUUGGUGGAACUGUCUGAAUGAAAAAAUUGACAUGAAUAUACAAAACUUUCAACAACGGAUCUCUUGGUUCUC